RNAcentral lists this long non-coding RNA (615 nucleotides) under Sorghum bicolor (sorghum). RNAcentral's name for it is "long non-coding RNA (SBIC_LNC001562)". Lineage: Eukaryota; Viridiplantae; Streptophyta; Magnoliopsida; Poales; Poaceae. The record is from RNAcentral.
UGUGCUUUUAUUAGAAGAGUAUAAAAGUUUACAACAAACAUCAUGAUACAAAAAAGGUUACAAAGAAGACCAAAUCAAUUACACAUGAUUCUAGCCAUUGACUAAUAAAAGGUUCAUAAUUCUUCUUUGCUCGAAGGAUAACUUUUAAGUGCCUUCUUGCAUUUUGAAUGGUCGGCUGAAUAUGCCUUAAGAUCGCAUCAUUUCUAACCGACGAGAUGGUCCAACACAUGGAAAGGAAUGGCUGACUGAUUUUCUGAAAGAGGUGAUUGUUUGAAAGGGAUUGGUAGAGUCUUCAAUGGUUAAACCCAAAGUGGCCCAACAGUCCACUGCAAAGAACAUUAUUACAUUAGCAUUAGUCACCAAUGAAAAGAUCCUCUCUCGUCUCCUUCGGUGCGCGUUGAAGUCAAAAUCUUUGGAGAAAAAAAACUGAUGAUCCCAAGAUGGAGACGAGAGAUAUAUGGUGACCCAAUUUGAUCCCCAGUAAAUACCAACCGAAGCUAUUUCCUACCUGCUCUCCUAUCUCCUUCCGCUCCUCACACAGCAGGCUUGAUUUUUUCCCCCCAAGAAGAUGGAGACUGCCAUCUCUGCAGUGAUUGGCGAGGUCGUGAGCCAGUU